Molecule: transfer RNA, 65 nt
Filed under: Amarygmini sp. ACP-2013
Lineage: Eukaryota; Metazoa; Arthropoda; Insecta; Coleoptera; Tenebrionidae
Description: tRNA-Trp
Source: RNAcentral
UAAGGAUUUAAGUUAAAUAAACUAAUAACCUUCAAAGUUAUAAAUAGAAAAAAAAUCUAAGCCUU